CCUACGGGAGGCAGCAGUGAGGAAUAUUGGUCAAUGGGCGCGAGCCUGAACCAGCCAAGCAGCGUGAAGGAUGACUGCCCUAUGUGUUGUAAACUUCUUUUAUAAAGGAAUAAAACGCGGCACGUGUGCCUGUUUGCAUGUACCUUAAGAAUAAGGAUCGGCUAACUCCGUGCCAGCAGCCGCGGUAAUACGGAGGAUCCGAGCGUUAUCCGGAUUUAUUGGGUUUAAAGGGAGCGUAGAUGGGUUGUUAAGUCAGGUGUGAAAGGUUGGGGCUCAACCGUAAAAUUGCAAUUGAUACUGGCAGUCUUGAGUACAGGUGAGGUAGGCGGAAUGCGUGGUGUAGCGGUGAAAUGCAUAGAUAUCACGAAGAACCCCGAUUGCGAAGGCAGCUUACUAAACUGUGACUAACAUUGAGGCUCGAAAGUGUGGGUAUCAAACAGGAUUAGAUACCCUUGUAGUC
Molecule: ribosomal RNA, 460 nt
Filed under: uncultured bacterium
Lineage: Bacteria
Description: partial 16S ribosomal RNA
Rfam family: Bacterial small subunit ribosomal RNA
Source: RNAcentral